Molecule: ribosomal RNA, 305 nt
Filed under: uncultured bacterium
Lineage: Bacteria
Description: bacterial SSU rRNA
Rfam family: Bacterial small subunit ribosomal RNA
Source: RNAcentral
GAUUCCUACGGGACGCAGCAGUGAGGAAUAUUGGUCAAUGGGCGGGAGCCUGAACCAGCCAAGCCGCGUGAGGGAAGAAGGUACAGCGUAUCGUAAACCUCUUUUGUCAGGGAACAAAGGCGGGGACUAGUCCCCGGAUGAGGGUACCUGAAGAAAAAGCAUCGGCUAACUCCGUGCCAGCAGCCGCGGUAAUACGUAGGUGGCGAGCGUUAUCCGGAAUGAUUGGGCGUAAAGGGUGCGCAGGCGGUCCUGCAAGUCUGGAGUGAAACGCAUGAGCUCAACUCAUGCAUGGCUUUGGAACACGG